UGCGUAGGCGGAUUAAUAAGUCAGUGGUGAAAACCUGCAGCUUAACUGUAGAACUGCCAUUGAUACUGUUAGUCUUGAGUACGGUCAAGGUAGGCGGAAUGUGUAAUGUAGCGGUGAAAUGCUUAGAUAUUACACAGAACACCGACUGCGAAGGCAGCUUACUGGACCAUUACUGACGCUGAGGCACGAAAGCGUGGGGAGCGAACAGGAUUAGAUACCCUGGUAGUCC
Molecule: ribosomal RNA, 229 nt
Filed under: uncultured bacterium
Lineage: Bacteria
Description: partial 16S ribosomal RNA
Rfam family: Bacterial small subunit ribosomal RNA
Source: RNAcentral